This is a long non-coding RNA of Marmota flaviventris (yellow-bellied marmot), 4258 nucleotides long. RefSeq lists it as uncharacterized. The record is from RefSeq and is a predicted model, not a curated record. NCBI's taxonomy places the organism in Eukaryota, Metazoa, Chordata, Mammalia, Rodentia, Sciuridae.
UCUAAUGAAUAAUAGAGAACAUUGAUUUAAACUGCUGUUUUUGUGCCAGCAGUUUGGAAACCUAGGGAGCUGCGCCUCUGCCCAGGAAGUCAUAGCAAAGGCCUUUUGAUGUUGAGGGGCACCCUGCCUGAAAGCCUACAGAAUCAUUAAUUAAAAGCCUCCAGCUUCUCUCCUAUAUUGCAAUUCCAUAGCUCUUACAGAGUCAUUGCUGCCUCUCUCCUUUUGCCUGAGGAUGUCAGAAGCAUGUUAAGAAGGAUAAACACCCACUGAUUUAUUUACAUUAAAUAAUACCCUGCUCACUCCCAGCAGCCAAUAAAAUCAGUGGGCUUUGGAAACCAGUCACAUGACAGCACCCUAGCAACUCCUUUCUGAAGUAGGGUUCAUGGCUGGAAAAAUAAGUACAGAAGAGCAGCCAACACACAUUCUUUUAUGAGACCUGCCACUGAAUCAACCCUGGGUACUCUGGGGGAGGGUUCAUGACAGUGGGAACUUUAUUUAACCUUUCUAUUAAUGUUUCUAUUGGCCUGUGUUAUCUCUUGCAAUGUCAAGUGCACGGUUAAUUAACCCUUUCUUGGCCUAUGCCACCUCUCUUUUCAGAUUGUAAGCUCCUUAAAUGCUAGAUUGGAGUUACUCAUUCAUUCAUUUACAGCCCAGAUAUUUAAUGCCCACCUGCUACAGGUGUGAGCUUUUGCUAAGCCCUGGGCGGUGCAAAGAAGAGGAAGACAUACUCCUUGCUUCUGGGACACUCACAAUCUUCUAGAAGUCUCUUCCCAGUCUGAUGAUCUUAUUCAGAACUGGGUCUUCCAAGGUUAUUGGCACAAAAAUCACUCAGGAAGUCACUGAACAAACCCUGGUUGAUUGAGAAGGGGUUCAGGCUGUGAACCCAGAAUGGUGUCAUGAGACUACAGUGUGCCGUACAUUUUUGCUGAUGAGCUCUGAGUAAAUUACCAGACAAUUUCUCCAGACCUCUUGGAUAUUUAGAAAUUUAAUUCCUUCCUUUCUUAGAUCCUUUCUGGAUCUGGGAAUGGAAUUUCUUUUAGGGUUGAGGACAGUUAUUCUGGCCCCACAAUAACUUGGGCUACACAUUCUUUAGGAAGUAGGCUUGCUUUUCAUAUGGACAAAAAAAAUUUUCACCAACAAAGGGGCACAGGAAAGGGGAGGAAGUCAAGGAAAGCAACAUUUCCUGAGUGCCCACUCAUGGCUUCCCCUCAUUUAGUGAACUACCACCCCAGGAAAACAGCAACACUCAUGUGCAAAGAGAUGUGCAUUUAGGUUUGGGUCUAGGGGUCAGUGGGUGAUAUAUCACCACACACACACACACACACUCAUACACACAUGUGUAUAUAAUUAUGCUGUAUUUAUAAUUUAAAAUUAAAUGACUUAUAAACUACUCUGCUAUGAGCCUAAAGAAUUAGAAGCCACGAUCUAUGCCCUCGAGAGUGCAAGAAAGAGAGAGAGAGAGAGAGAGAGAGAGAGAGAGAGAGAGAGAGAAACAGAAUAAGAAACACAUUCAAAGUUAAAUAGCCACAUGAAAAUUAUGUAACAGUACAGAGAGGAUUUUAGAGCUGGCUGGAUUCACAGCAAACAUUUAAACCAGAGUUUCCUAAAAUAGGGUGUAAACAUCAUUGAUGGCAUGAAAGAUGAUUUGAAUAUAAACAGCUUAAAAUUUCAUUAGGCAUUUAUUUUAACAUGCAUUAGAAAAAUCUAGACCUAGCAUAUCAAGCCCUUGUGUACAUGAAUAUUACUGCUUACUUUGAGGUUACCAAAAAGAUUUAAAGAUUAUCUAAAGGAAAGUAUUAAGUAAGUAGCUGUAUAGAAGAUGUGGAACAGGGACAUGGCAAAGAGUCUGCAAGUGUCAUUCGAAUGGCCUGAGUCUGGGAGAGGCAGACCAAAUUCAAUCUCUGGGAUGAAGAGAGGUUCAGCUAGUUGCUCAAGGUCACGGAGCUAGUGGAGAUCAUAGACCAGAAAGUGGUCAUCUGACUGAUCCUCUGCUCCCACAUCCUCCUUCACUCACUACUUCCUAUUUUGCAGAUGAGGAAAUUGUAAUCUGAAUAACAAGUUGCCUCUUUUGAAUAUGACUAUCACAAAAAUCUGACUGCAAAGUAGAAAGCAUUGAAUUGGCUUCAUGAAAAAUGAACUUUAAUAUUUAUAGAGUGCUUACUAUGCAUGCCAGUAUUACAAAGAUUUCAUACAUAAUAAUUUAUGGUAAUCCCCACACCAUUCUGUGGGAUGCACUUAGAUUAUUUCUACCAUCUCUCUUGUCAUAUGAGCAAAACAAGGAACAAAGAUCAAGUAGCUUUCUUAGGUCACUAUUUGCAUAGAUGGGAUUUGAACCCAGGUAGUCCAGCUCCAGAAUUUGUCCACUCAACCAUGACCACAUUCCUCACCAAUAAGUGAAGAGGUGAAAGGGCAACUUGUUUACCUGGUGGCAUUGCAAAAACUCUGUUCAGACAAUAUGGUACGUUCCUGUCCCCUCCUGCCUUGAAUUUUCCAACGGGUGCCUUGCUCCACUCUAUGGAACGUGUGGGUUUUCCACACCAUCACUUUUCAAUGUGCAGAGAUUCUUGAGAGGAAUCCCUGAGCGCCAAGAGCAAUCCUUUUAUAAAGACAAUCUGUGAGUUUACUAUGAUGAGAACUAUAAAGAAACAGUCCCACCUCCAAGGUUGAGAGGCAAAGUAUCCAUAGGUGGUGACUGGACGGAGAGGUAGUUGGGGGACAUGGUGGGGCUGAGAGUGACAGGAGAGGAGGCUCAGGGAGGACUAGCCCAGUGCUCCACAGGAGGCCACCAGGUGUUGAGAAAGCCCUGCUGGGUGCCUAGCACUUGGCACGGCACCUGGUAUGGAGCAGGUGCUCAGAGCUAUGUGGAGCGCAUGGGAGCCUGGGUGCAAACAGAGCCCAGCAGGGAGGCGGGCAGCAGGGCAGAGACUGGAGGUGAGAGAGCACCGAACACACUUGACCUACUUUAUAACUUCGCUCCAGGUAAGCCCUAGGAGGACAGCACAGUGCCAAAUUUCCAGUCAACAGACAAAAGACCUUUGCCCAAACCACAGACAGCAUUCCUGCUGUGGCUGGAACUUUGAGGAAGUCCGCUUUGUGUUGGUUACCCUUCAAAGGAGCCCCUGUUCAGGCUUCUGGCCCACUCUGCCUUAGCGUGACAGUCUCCGUUCUUCCUCCCUGCAGGGUACUUCAGGGUAGGCCACGGCCAUCUGGGACCUGUCACCAGCCUCCUCUGCACUGGUGCCACAAGAGGAUCAGCCUGUGGCACUUCUGUCUAUCUCUCCAGCAGGUGCUGACAGCCAAGCCAUUCCACACACCUUUGGGACAAAGCACUGCCCAGCAGCCAGGGCCAAGUUCAGAGCCUGAACAUUCUUUCACAGGCUCGGCGGAGAACCUGGGGGGCCUGAUGGCACAUUAUAUAAGCUGCACGUUGGGGACAAACCACUGAUGGGCAGACCCUGGUGCUCCUGGAAUUGCGUAAGCUGCUACCCUCCUGUUGGUCAUUGUUCAUGCAUGUCCCUGGGUUCCCUCAUUUGGCACGAGGCUGAAACCAUCAUGGUCCACUUCUGGAAUGCAUUUUCUGUUUCUCACCUGCAUGGUGAGUGCCUUCAGACAAGGACUGAGCUUUGUACUUCUCUGCUUCAACAUCGGCUAGAACAGAUUUUACAUACUGAGCCUCCAUUGCUGUUCGUCCAUCAUGUGACCCAUCCUACAGUUUCCCCACAAACUCCAAGCGCCUCCUUACCACAUGCAAGGACUUGGUGGUGGUUCUCAAGAAAUUGCCAUUCUAGUUGGUAAGGGAAGCAGACAGAAAGAGCUGAGAUGAGCUGGUGACACCUUCUGCUCCUGCACCAUGAGAUCCUGUUCUCUUCUAUCCUCUCUGCCCCAGUCUGUUUGAUAUUGAAAUGGAAAGAUGGUGAGAAUAGAAGCUGGUAGACUGGCAGUCAAGACUUGACAUGAAACAUCUUCAGCAGUCAUUUGAUAAGUGUUUGCACUGUGAAGUGUUCUAGCAACCUCAUAACUCACACUGGCAACUCCUAUAAACACCCUCUCUUCUGUUUUCCUUCACUCUGCAACUUCUCAUUCCACCAUUGAUGGAUUAACUCAGUUUAGUGUUUAUCAGAUGGACUCAGUGCCAUUCUUAUAGAGACCAAGUCAAAAAGAACAAACAAUUAUUUAUCAAAUGAAUGCCAUUUAAAAGUAUUGUGCUGGUCAUAGUAUUAGGCAUAAAGAAGAAAUAAGCUGUCACUUUUGCUCAUCC